Long non-coding RNA from Branchiostoma floridae (Florida lancelet), 1071 nucleotides. RefSeq lists it as uncharacterized. The record is from RefSeq and is a predicted model, not a curated record. Lineage: Eukaryota; Metazoa; Chordata; Leptocardii; Amphioxiformes; Branchiostomatidae. The transcript has 3 exons.
CCAACAAGCUAUCCCAACAGUCUGAGCGAAAAUAGUAUAAAUAUCGCUGUAUCCAAGCAGUCUUCCUCUUUUCACCGCCAUUUCCGCAAGUGAAACGAGUGACAACGCUGAUCUGACAGAAGAUUGUUCUUCAAUUAUAAACAGCACAACAAAUCCAAGACAUGGCAAGCUGUGCUAAGCCAACUGUCAGCAACUGUUGCCUCGGUUUUGCCGACCGUCGUAACUACAGGAAUCAGCGCCCAGCAAGAGGCUCGGAGGACUGGGGUAAACAAGGUAUCUACGCCAUCAUGGAGCCCGACCACACACACUACGGCAAGGACAAGCCAAUCCUGUACGUCGGCAAAGGUAACAUCGGCGAUCGCCUGGAGAAACACUUCAAGGGACAGGACGGGCAGGAUAUUGGAAAGUACCUGAGCAAGAAAAAAGGCAUCGACGAUCGUCGCCUCCAGCUCGACGGUAUCAAAGUUUACUGGAAACUAAUGUGCGAGCAUUGCAGCAGUAAGCUAGAGGAUACUUUUAUCAAAUGUGUUGAAAACUCCCUGGGGUACCAUCCUCAUUACAAUCGAAUCGCUGGCAGUCACUAAGUAGAAAGAAAGUACAUUUCUUUCUAUGUACCGCCUGAAAAAGGUGAUGUUUCAACUUCGCAGAAAGUAGGCUUAAAUAAUAGACGCAGGGAGUAAAGUAAAUGAUGCAAAGAGUGAAAAUGAGUCGCGAAUAAAGCUUAGAACUGAUUCAGCUUGCAGGGUGGCAAGGCAACCGCCGGUUAUCAACUUGACCAUAAUUGAUACUUACUUUUUCGAAGCGCACCAGCUUUAUAUCGGCUUUUAUGGAAUUUUAGCAACUUUGUCAUCCAACAUCCGACAGAGUCAGAGAUAUGUUUUACAGCUAACAGCUAGUAUUUAAACAAUCCCAUUAAAUCAUAGCAUAAGUGCGCAACAAAUGUAUUUAGUAGACAUUGAAAAAUGGAAGAAACACCCGACACUACUGAAUGCUCUUAACUUAAAUCGUUUCAAGAAGCAUUAUGAAGUUUUUUCGGUGAGCUGUUCAAUAAAAUCUGACUUCCUCAGCUGA